UCCCUGGUUCGAUCCCGGGUUUCGGCACC
RNAcentral lists this non-coding RNA (29 nucleotides) under Gallus gallus (chicken). Lineage: Eukaryota; Metazoa; Chordata; Aves; Galliformes; Phasianidae. The record is from RNAcentral. RNAcentral also lists the same sequence under 6 other names.